GUUAAUUGUGGGCUUUAUACAGUUUUGUUUUGUUUUGUUUUGUUUUGUUUUUGUUUUUUGAGAUGGAAUCUCACUCUGUUGCCCAGGCUGGAGUGCAAUGGCAUGAUAUCGGCUCAUUGCAACCUCUGCCUCCCGGGUUCGAGUGAUUCUCCUGCCUCAGCCUCCCGAGCAACUGGGACUACAGGUGCGUGCCACCACGCCCGGCUUAUUUUUGUAUUUUUAGUAGAGAUGGGGUUUCACAAUAUUAAUCAGGCUGGUCUUGAACUCCUGAUCUUGUGAUCUGCCCUCCUCAACCUCCCAAAGUGCUGGGAUUACAGGCGUGAGCCACCAUGCCAGGCCCACUUAUAGUUUUACUUUUUAAAAUAUAGGGCUUUGAGACUGGUUUUAAAAUAUUAAAUUUGGUUGAAACUAGUCACACAUUAGAAAUGAUAGCUCAGGAUGACCAACUGGCAACAGAAAAAUCUGCAUACGUAUUUUCUAGAUGUGGGCUUAUGGAGACAUAUGGGGCCAUACCUGUCUUGUGAGCUACGUUCUCUCAUGCUUAGGUUUCAAGCGGGGUGGUUGACAAAACAUACCCAGCUCACGUAACUAACGAUAAGUCAUUUGCCCGGGUGGUCCUUUAAGGCCAACCUUGACGUUUCACACAUGUGAGCCUGAUUGACCAGUGAAUGGAGAACACUCUUCGUGGGUCUGCUGAGGAAGAAGAACUUGGAGAGACUAAUCACCAUUUUCCUACUAGGUUCUUAAUGGCUUUAGAAACUGAGUUUCUCUCUAGACUUUGAUGAGAAGCAGAAGAAAAAGCAACCAGGAAAGAACAAUAUAGUGCUCUGAUAUGUCUCAGAGCCAACUACCAUGAAUACCAAAACAGACAUUGGCAAGCAAGGAUACAGACCUGUGAAUUGCAGCUAUAAGAAAUUAAGAAAUACCACCCUGAGCAGGACCAAGUUGAAUUUGGAAGCUAUGGCUUGUUUUUGUUUUUGUUUUUAAGUGAUAAGCUGACUUGAGAUAAAAGGAAGGCGAGAAGGCUCAUUCCUUCAAUUACCAACUGCUUCCUGAACAUGAAUAAGCAUGAAUAAGGCAUCCCUUCCACGUGCAAUGAAGGAAACAGAAGCAGAAAAUACAAAUCAG
RNAcentral lists this long non-coding RNA (1128 nucleotides) under Homo sapiens (human). RNAcentral describes it as "HSALNT0017074". Lineage: Eukaryota; Metazoa; Chordata; Mammalia; Primates; Hominidae. The record is from RNAcentral.